GGGGACGUUUCGGAUUCGACAGGGAUGGUCUGAGCCCUGGUGGCGCGUCGGAGGGUCGGCUCCGCAACAACGACACAGUAUAACAACUGGCAAAACUAACAACAACCUCGCUUUCGCAGCGUAAGCUGCUGAAACGGUCCUUCGGUUCCAUCGCCCAUGUGGCAUCGCAGGACUCACCUAUCAGUGGGAUACGACGCCUGACCGCCGCCUGAGGCGGGCGUAAGAGACCAUCAGGAUAGCGCACAGGACGCCUGCUGACCGGCAGAUUGCUGCGCGAAACCCAGUAGAUCAGCUACACGCGUAGAAGCCAGGGUAUUGGAGUCUCUGGACGCGGGUUCAAAUCCCGCCGUCUCCACCA
Non-coding RNA from Edaphobacillus lindanitolerans, 358 nucleotides. Lineage: Bacteria; Bacillati; Bacillota; Bacilli; Caryophanales; Bacillaceae. The record is from Rfam.